AACGAACGCUGGCGGCAUGCCUAACACAUGCAAGUCGAACGAGACCUUCGGGUCUAGUGGCGCACGGGUGCGUAACGCGUGGGAACCUGCCCUUAGGUUCGGAAUCACUCCCCGAAAGGGGUGCUAAUACCGGAUAAUGUCUUCGGACCAAAGAUUUAUCGCCUUUGGAUGGGCCCGCGUUGGAUUAGCUAGUUGGUAGGGUAAAAGCCUACCAAGGCGACGAUCCAUAGCUGGUCUGAGAGGAUGAUCAGCCACACUGGGACUGAGACACGGCCCAGACUCCUACGGGAGGCAGCAGCGGGGAAUAUUGGACAAUGGGCGAAAGCCUGAUGCAGCAAUGCCGCGUGAGUGAUGAAGGCCUUAGGGUUGUAAAGCUCUUUUACCCGGGAUGAUAAUGACAGUACCGGGAGAAUAAGCUCCGGCUAACUCCGUG
RNAcentral lists this ribosomal RNA (433 nucleotides) under uncultured bacterium. RNAcentral describes it as "partial 16S ribosomal RNA". It matches the Rfam family "Bacterial small subunit ribosomal RNA", at positions 29 to 507 of the family's 1533-position model. The record is from RNAcentral.